Molecule: ribosomal RNA, 701 nt
Filed under: Bacillus zhangzhouensis
Lineage: Bacteria; Bacillati; Bacillota; Bacilli; Caryophanales; Bacillaceae
Description: bacterial SSU rRNA
Rfam family: Bacterial small subunit ribosomal RNA
Source: RNAcentral
GUAACACGUGGGUAACCUGCCUGUAAGACUGGGAUAACUCCGGGAAACCGGAGCUAAUACCGGAUAGUUCCUUGAACCGCAUGGUUCAAGGAUGAAAGACGGUUUCGGCUGUCACUUACAGAUGGACCCGCGGCGCAUUAGCUAGUUGGUGGGGUAAUGGCUCACCAAGGCGACGAUGCGUAGCCGACCUGAGAGGGUGAUCGGCCACACUGGGACUGAGACACGGCCCAGACUCCUACGGGAGGCAGCAGUAGGGAAUCUUCCGCAAUGGACGAAAGUCUGACGGAGCAACGCCGCGUGAGUGAUGAAGGUUUUCGGAUCGUAAAGCUCUGUUGUUAGGGAAGAACAAGUGCGAGAGUAACUGCUCGCACCUUGACGGUACCUAACCAGAAAGCCACGGCUAACUACGUGCCAGCAGCCGCGGUAAUACGUAGGUGGCAAGCGUUGUCCGGAAUUAUUGGGCGUAAAGGGCUCGCAGGCGGUUUCUUAAGUCUGAUGUGAAAGCCCCCGGCUCAACCGGGGAGGGUCAUUGGAAACUGGGAAACUUGAGUGCAGAAGAGGAGAGUGGAAUUCCACGUGUAGCGGUGAAAUGCGUAGAGAUGUGGAGGAACACCAGUGGCGAAGGCGACUCUCUGGUCUGUAACUGACGCUGAGGAGCGAAAGCGUGGGGAGCGAACAGGAUUAGAUACCCUGGUAGUCCA